UACGGAGGUGGCAAGCGUUGCUCGGAAUCACUGGGCGUAAAGGGCGCGUAGGCGGGGAGGUAAGUCGGGUGUGAAAUCCCUCGGCCCAACCGAGGAACUGCGCCCGAGACUGCUUCUCUUGAGUCCCGGAGAGGAAGAUGGAAUUCCCGGUGUAGCGGUGAAAUGUGUAGAGAUCGGGAGGAACACCGGUGGCGAAGGCGGUCUUCUGGACGGUGACUGACGCUGAGGCGCGAAAGCUUGGGGAGCAAACGGG
RNAcentral lists this ribosomal RNA (253 nucleotides) under uncultured bacterium. Its description in RNAcentral is "partial 16S ribosomal RNA". It matches the Rfam family "Bacterial small subunit ribosomal RNA", at positions 524 to 776 of the family's 1533-position model. The record is from RNAcentral.